Macaca mulatta (Rhesus monkey) is the source of this 1589-nucleotide long non-coding RNA. NCBI's taxonomy places the organism in Eukaryota, Metazoa, Chordata, Mammalia, Primates, Cercopithecidae. The record is from Ensembl.
UCUGCAUCUUGAAAUGACGACCUGUGCCUCUGGGACUCAGCUGCAAGGAAGACAAGUGGAAGUGCACUGGAUGGAUGGAUGAAGGCACUCUCCCAGGCUUCCAACUCUUGGCAUGCAAGGACCAAGCCAGGGUCAAGGAGUGGAAGAAGCAGCUUACCUUCUGGAAGCCUAGAGGUAAGGCUCUAAGUGAGAACUUUCUCCUGGCCUAUCUUUUUCAGUGCUGUUUGUUUGGAAAGGGAACAGAUUUUCCUGUUACAACAGCCAAGAAAACAGAAAAUAAAUCAAGGAAAGAGUGGCAAGGACCGGCCUGGAAAUGAAGUUAAAAUAUCUAGGCUUGGUGAAGACACCACAAAAUGGUUUUCUCCUCAAAGUGGCUGCACAGCUUAGAGGGGCGGCAAAUCAGACUGACUGCUCUAAUGGAUCUAGGGACAUAUUCUUCUCCCUGACAACUCCACCCACACCUCUUCCCACCCCAUUUCCUCCAAAAGCCUUUUGCAGAUGGUGCCUCUCAGUUCCCAGAACCAGUCUGGAGCAAUGAUUAAAGGACAAAAAUUCCAGGAACCAUUUUUUUCUUGUUGUACACUUUGGCAAAUGCUUCAGCUACACGAAGACACAGUGAAUCAUUUAAGAGUAACAAUCAAGAUGCUGGAGGGAAAUUAAGGAUUCCACUGAGCAUGGGGCCAGUCUUCAAAAAAGUGGUUGUUAGCAAAAAGGUAGGAUGCUGUGAACACUCUUUUUGGGCACCCUUCAUCCCCACAGGCACUCAGGCCACACUUUUGCCUCCUUGGAUCCCUCCUCCCUUUCCCUAUUCCUUUGGACAAGAAUAAUUUCCAUUACUACGAAGUCUCUACAUAUUCCAGAUUUAUAAUAUAACCAUGAAAAAAUAAAUAAUGAAAGUCUCAGGACCUUAUAGGAUCAGAUAACCACAAAUAGUUCUCUAUACCAUGGGUUCCCAACCUCUGGGCCGCAGACCAGUACCAGUCUAUGGCCUGUUAGGAACCAGGCUGCAGGACAGGAGGUGAGCAGCUGACCAGGGAGCCUUACCACCUGAGCUCCACCUCCUGUCAGAUCAGCAGCAGGAUUAGAUUCUCAUAGGAGCACAAACCCUAUUGUGAACUGCACAAGCGAGGGAUCUAGGUUGCGCACUCCUUAGGAGAAUCCAAUGCCCAGUGAUCUGAGGUGGAACAAUUUCAUCCCAAAAACACUCCUCCCCCACCUUCUGUGGAAAAAUUGUCCUCCAUGAAACUGGUCCCUGGUACCUAAAAGCUGGGGACUGCUGCUCUAUACAACAUCCAACAUUCCACUGAAAAGACACCAGGUUAUCUUUUGCCCAUUUCAGUUUUUCACAAUGUUUCCUGACAUUGGAGAAGCUCUCUCAGAAUGCAGAGAUAAAGAACAAAGAGAUCAAAACAAUUAGAGAGAACAUAAAGACAAAAGACAGAAAACAGAAUCAUACUUGUGAAUUCUAGGUGAUUUGAAGAAGAAAUGAGAACAAUUAAGUACUGACCUAAAAAGGUCUGAUGAAGGGACUCCUUUAUCCAGACUGAAUAGUCACCUAGGGUGGCUGUAACAAACUGGGUGGCUUAGAA